Molecule: ribosomal RNA, 393 nt
Filed under: uncultured bacterium
Lineage: Bacteria
Description: bacterial SSU rRNA
Rfam family: Bacterial small subunit ribosomal RNA
Source: RNAcentral
GACGAACGCUGGCGGCGUGCUUAACACAUGCAAGUCGAGCGGUAAGGCCCUUUCGGGGGUACACGAGCGGCGAACGGGUGAGUAACACGUGGGUGACCUGCCCUCAGCUCUGGGAUAAGCCUGGGAAACCGGGUCUAAUACCGGGAUAUGACUCCAUGACGCAUGUUGUGGGGUGGAAAGCCUUGUGCGGCUGAGGAUGGGCCCGCGGCCUAUCAGCUUGUUGGUGGGGUGAUGGCCUACCAAGGCGACGACGGGUAGCCGGCCUGAGAGGGCGACCGGCCACACUGGGACUGAGACACGGCCCAGACUCCUACGGGAGGCAGCGAGUGGGGAAUCUUGCGCAAUGGGCGAAAGCCUGACGCAGCGACGCCGCGUGAGGGAUGACGGCCUGGU